UUGAUUAGGGGAAACUAGAGAGCUCUCCCGCCUGUUGAGUCUAGGCUUCAAGGAUCAAAGUUCCAGUAUUGAAUUAGAAGAGGCCGAGGAGUAAGGUAGCUUACAAAGGAGGAAGGGAGGGUAAUAUACCAUUAAACUUCGUUUUUAUUCAUUGCAAUGCAAGUGCAGUAUUUUGCUAGUACCAUUAAUCUUGAGUAUUAUAUUGUUCGUGUUCCAUAUUAUUUUCUCCAAAGAAAGACUCAACUGCCGAGUCUCCGGUCCCACAUCCAUAAUUUCAUCGACACCGACUUCAAUUUACAGGGCAAAAACAAAAUACAGUUCACGAAAAGACCAAAACGCCCUCUGCCUCGCAGGAGACCGGUCAACGCGUGAGACAAGUCUUGAUGGCAAUAGCGUAAAUACGCCCGAACGCCCAGCGUCAUCGCAGGAUAUACGCCUCGACCCGGAGAU
RNAcentral lists this long non-coding RNA (450 nucleotides) under Oryza sativa (Asian cultivated rice). Its description in RNAcentral is "long non-coding RNA (OSAT_LNC000825)". Lineage: Eukaryota; Viridiplantae; Streptophyta; Magnoliopsida; Poales; Poaceae. The record is from RNAcentral.